GCAAACUUGGUCAUUUAGAGGAAGUAAAAGUCGUAACAAGGUUUCCGUAGGUGAACCUGCGGAAGGAUCAACAUUGAAUUUUAUAAAAAAAAAAACCUUUCAAGCUUUUUAGGGGAGGGGGGGAGGAAAGUAAUUUCUUCUCUUUUUUUCCUUCUGGCUUGCAAACAACUUUGAUACCCAAAAAGAAAGAGAGAGAAAAAGAGUUUCAUCUUCAGUCCUUUUUUUGACUUGAGCUUAAUAUUUGCUUAGGUUGAUUGGAGGGGUUGUUGAAGUGAUGUCUCAGUUUCUUGAACAACAACACACAUGGUUGCCUGAUAAAAAAGAGUUUGGUUUUUGGGAAUGGAAAAGAAACAACUUUCAACAACGGAUCUCUUGGCUCUCACAUCGAUGAAGAACGCAGC
Molecule: unclassified non-coding RNA, 401 nt
Filed under: uncultured fungus
Lineage: Eukaryota; Fungi
Description: partial contains small subunit ribosomal RNA, internal transcribed spacer 1, and 5.8S ribosomal RNA
Rfam family: Eukaryotic small subunit ribosomal RNA (bases 1-73)
Source: RNAcentral